AAAUUGAAGAGUUUGAUCAUGGCUCAGAUUGAACGCUGGCGGCAGGCCUAACACAUGCAAGUCGAACGGUAGCACAGAGAGCUUGCUCUCGGGUGACGAGUGGCGGACGGGUGAGUAAUGUCUGGGAAACUGCCUGAUGGAGGGGGAUAACUACUGGAAACGGUGGCUAAUACCGCAUAACGUCGCAAGACCAAAGAGGGGGACCUUCGGGCCUCUUGCCAUCAGAUGUGCCCAGAUGGGAUUAGCUUGUUGGUGAGGUAACGGCUCACCAAGGCGACGAUCCCUAGCUGGUCUGAGAGGAUGACCAGCCACACUGGAACUGAGACACGGUCCAGACUCCUACGGGAGGCAGCAGUGGGGAAUAUUGCACAAUGGGCGCAAGCCUGAUGCAGCCAUGCCGCGUGUAUGAAGAAGGCCUUCGGGUUGUAAAGUACUUUCAGCGGGGAGGAAGGUGUUGUGGUUAAUAACCGCAGCAAUUGACGUUACCCGCAGAAGAAGCACCGGCUAACUCCGUGCCAGCAGCCGCGGUAAUACGGAGGGUGCAAGCGUUAAUCGGAAUUACUGGGCGUAAAGCGCACGCAGGCGGUCUGUCAAGUCGGAUGUGAAAUCCCCGGGCUCAACC
Molecule: ribosomal RNA, 622 nt
Filed under: Salmonella enterica subsp. enterica serovar Infantis
Lineage: Bacteria; Pseudomonadati; Pseudomonadota; Gammaproteobacteria; Enterobacterales; Enterobacteriaceae
Also listed under: 3 other names
Description: bacterial SSU rRNA
Rfam family: Bacterial small subunit ribosomal RNA
Source: RNAcentral